AUAUCAUUUUUGACAAUGCUGUACAACUGUGGCCCUUCCCAUCUGUCUGCUCACCAAAGACAUGGAGAUCUGGGUUUCCCUUAGCACAGAGCAAAUCAGCCAAAGAGCCUGAGGCCUGGGUAGCCUGGGGAAGAGAAGCGGUCUUAAGGGGAAGAAUUUCGAUCAAGUAAUCCUGGAGUAUUGAGCCUGGGUUCCAUGGGAGUGCUACCAAGUCCAACAACAAGAAAGAAAAAAGAAUGUGGAAGGAAGUAAGGAUAAUCAAAGAUAAAGAAUUUAAAUUUUAACGAGAUAAAAUUCCUGUGUAACAAUAAAGCAAGAACAAAAACUCUAAAAGAACAUAGAUGGAUUAUUCCUACAUUGCAUAGGCUACCUUCUCCUGCCACAGAUACUCUAUCCCAUUUGCUGUCAUCCAACGACUAACACCGUUUUCACUUCAGAACGUCAAGCCUUUUCUGUUCUCUUCAUGGCCUCCUCCCAUUAAAGCUGAAAGUAUCUGCUAUCAGUCAUUUGUCCUAACUGAGUGGAUACAUUUGCAAAGUGGAAUCCUCCAGGUGCCUUUAAGGAGUUUACAG
This 572-nucleotide long non-coding RNA is filed under the name Homo sapiens (human). RNAcentral describes it as "HSALNT0351523". Lineage: Eukaryota; Metazoa; Chordata; Mammalia; Primates; Hominidae. The record is from RNAcentral.